AUUGAACGCUGGCGGCAGGCCUAACACAUGCAAGUCGAACGGUAACAGGAAGACGCUUGCUUCUUUGCUGACGAGUGGCGGACGGGUGAGUAAUGUCUGGGAAACUGCCUGAUGGAGGGGGAUAACUACUGGAAACGGUAGCUAAUACCGCAUAACGUCGCAAGACCAAAGAGGGGGACCUUCGGGCCUCUUGCCAUCGGAUGUGCCCAGAUGGGAUUAGCUAGUAGGUGGGGUAACGGCUCACCUCGGCGACGAUCCCUAGCUGGUCUGAGAGGAUGACCGGCCAAACGGGAACUGGGACACGUUCCAGACCCCAACGGAAGGCAGCGGUGGGAAAUUUUGCACAAGGGGCGCAAGCCUAAGGCGGCAAGGCCGGGUGUAGAAAGAAGGCCUUGGGGUGGAAAAGUACUUUCAGCGGGAAGAAAGGGAGUAAAGUUAAAACCUUUGCUCAUGAACGUAACCCGCAGAAAAGGCACGGCCAAAUUCGGU
RNAcentral lists this ribosomal RNA (489 nucleotides) under uncultured bacterium. RNAcentral's name for it is "partial 16S ribosomal RNA". It matches the Rfam family "Bacterial small subunit ribosomal RNA", at positions 29 to 506 of the family's 1533-position model. The record is from RNAcentral.